Molecule: ribosomal RNA, 497 nt
Filed under: uncultured bacterium
Lineage: Bacteria
Description: partial 16S ribosomal RNA
Rfam family: Bacterial small subunit ribosomal RNA
Source: RNAcentral
GAUGAACGCUGGCGGCGUGCCUAAUACAUGCAAGUCUAGCGAACAGACGUGGAGCUUGCUCCUCUGACGUUAGCGGCGGACGGGUGAGUAACACGUGGAUAACCUACCUAUAAGACUGGGAUAACUUCGGGAAACCGGAGCUAAUACCGGAUAAUAUAUUGAACCGCAUGGUUCAAUAGUGAAAGACGGUUUUGCUGUCACUUAUCGAUGGAUCCGCGCCGCAUUAGCUAGUUGGUAAGGUAACGGCUUACCAAGGCAACGAUGCGUAGCCGACCUGAGAGGGUGAGCGGCCACACUGGAACUGAGACACGGUCCAGACUCCUACGGGAGGCAGCGGUAGGGAAUCUUCCACAAGGGGCGAAAGCCUGACGGAGCAACGCCGCGUGAGUGAUGAAGGUCUUCGGAUCGUAAAACUCUGUUAUUAGGGAAGAACAAAUGUGUAAGUAACUAUGCACGUCUUGACGGUACCUAAUCAGAAAGCCACGGCUAACUACGUG